Molecule: ribosomal RNA, 253 nt
Filed under: uncultured bacterium
Lineage: Bacteria
Description: partial 16S ribosomal RNA
Rfam family: Bacterial small subunit ribosomal RNA
Source: RNAcentral
UACGUAGGGGGCAAGCGUUGUCCGGAAUUAUUGGGCGUAAAGAGCGUGUAGGCGGCCAGAUAAGUCCGCUGUGAAAUCUCGAGGCUCAACUUCGAGCUGUCGGUGGAAACUAUCUGGCUAGAGUCCGGAAGAGGAGAAUGGAAUUCCUGGUGUAGCGGUGAAAUGCGCAGAUAUCAGGAAGAACACCGGUGGCGAAGGCGGCCCACUGGAUCGGUACUGACGCUGAGGUGCGAAAGCGUGGGGAGCAAACAGG